RNAcentral lists this ribosomal RNA (492 nucleotides) under uncultured bacterium. RNAcentral describes it as "partial 16S ribosomal RNA". It matches the Rfam family "Bacterial small subunit ribosomal RNA", at positions 29 to 507 of the family's 1533-position model. The record is from RNAcentral.
AGUGAACGCUGGCGGUAGGCCUAACACAUGCAAGUCGAACGGCAGCACAGUAAGAGCUUGCUCUUACGGGUGGCGAGUGGCGGACGGGUGAGGAAUACAUCGGAAUCUACUUUUUCGUGGGGGAUAACGUAGGGAAACUUACGCUAAUACCGCAUACGACCUACGGGUGAAAGCAGGGGAUCUUCGGACCUUGCGCGAUUGAAUGAGCCGAUGUCGGAUUAGCUAGUUGGCGGGGUAAAGGCCCACCAAGGCGACGAUCCGUAGCUGGUCUGAGAGGAUGAUCAGACAAACUGGAACUGAGACACGGUCCAGACUCCUACGGGAGGCAGCAGUGGGGAAUAUUGGACAAUGGGCGCAAGCCUGAUCCAGCCAUACCGCGUGGGUGAAGAAGGCCUUCGGGUUGUAAAGCCCUUUUGUUGGGAAAGAAAAGCAGCAGGUUAAUACCCCGCUGUUCUGACGGUACCAAAAGAAUAAGCACCGGCUAACUUCGUG